GCCAAAAUAGCUCAGUUGGGAGAGCGUUAGACUGAAGAUCUAAAGGUCCCUGGUUAUAUCCCGGGUUUCGGCA
This 73-nucleotide transfer RNA is filed under the name Daphnia pulex (common water flea). It matches the Rfam family "tRNA". From Rfam's summary of the family: Transfer RNA (tRNA) molecules are approximately 80 nucleotides in length. Their secondary structure includes four short double-helical elements and three loops (D, anti-codon, and T loops). The record is from Rfam by way of RNAcentral. Lineage: Eukaryota; Metazoa; Arthropoda; Branchiopoda; Diplostraca; Daphniidae.